UGGUUAUUUAAAAAAAAAAGAAUAAAAUUUUCCGUAUCAAGUUAGUUAACUAGUCGGAUAAAACAACCGUACGAUUGACGAGAUAUCGACACGCAAUUACGACUACAUCGGGUUACUGUAGUUUUGGUCCUUAGACAUAUCUUGACUGCAAAUCGGAGAAGGUGACAAAAUGGCCGACCGCAGAGAAUUGAUACUCUAAAUUUAAAAUCGAUGGUGAUCUCUUAUCUAGCAGAAUAAAACUUUAAUAUCUAUGAAUUUGAGCAUUUUUAUACAGAAUAAACAUAAUAUCAAUUUUUGAUUUUUUUGCGAAGUUUCCCUUUAA
RNAcentral lists this long non-coding RNA (322 nucleotides) under Mytilus galloprovincialis (Mediterranean mussel). Lineage: Eukaryota; Metazoa; Mollusca; Bivalvia; Mytilida; Mytilidae. The record is from RNAcentral.